AUGGCCGAUACUCCAACUUCCCGGAUGAUCCACCCCUUCAGCAACAUGCAGGGGCAGAACCCGAAACAGUUCCAGUUCCAGUACUCCGACAACCCACAGCAUCCCUGCCGCCCUUACCAGCCAUCUCCAGACACCCAUGUUGUGCCACAGCAUCACUACAGCCUCAAGUCCCACUCAUCAGAUGCUAGCUAUGAGAACCAGGUUGCUCAGAUGAAGCACACUUUGGACUCCUCGGCGGCAGACGGCUACAUGAGGCAUGACUCGCCCUCCAGCCAUAGCUUCACUCCUCCGUCCAUCAGGAGCGGCAGUGGCAGCCCUUCGUCUCACGACGACAGCCACUCCGACUCCACCAACGGAUCUCCUGUGAGUGCUUCGUGCGUCACUGUGACUGAGGAUCCUAACGAUCUGAAGCAAAAGCUCAAGGACCUUGAGGCUGAAAUGCUUGGGCCAGACGCUGAGAUAGUUAACAGCCUGGAGAGCUCCGUGGCAAAGCAGCUAUCGCUGGAGCCGGAGAAGUGGGCGCAGAUGAUGGACUUUCCCAGGGGCAACCUGAAGGAGCUGCUGCUUGCUUGUGCCAGAGCUGUGGAAGAGAAGAACAUGUACGCGGUCGAUGUGAUGGUGCCGGAGCUGAGGAAGAUGGUUUCGGUCUCCGGCACGCCGCUUGAGAGGCUGGGAGCCUACAUGGUGGAAGGGCUCGUGGCCAGGCUCGCCUCCUCCGGCCACUCCAUCUACAAAGCCUUGAGGUGCAAGGAGCCGAAGAGCUCUGACCUGCUGUCCUACAUGCAUUUCCUGUAUGAGGCCUGCCCCUACUUCAAGUUCGGCUACAUGUCGGCCAACGGCGCCAUUGCGGAGGCUGUGAAGGGAGAGGACAGGAUCCACAUAAUCGACUUCCAUAUCGCUCAAGGAGCUCAGUGGAUCUCCCUCCUCCAGGCCCUUGCAGCCAGGCCCGGUGGGCCGCCGACCGUGAGGAUCACAGGGCUUGAUGAUUCGGUGUCGGCCUACGCGCGAGGCGGUGGGCUGGACCUUGUUGGGAGGAGGCUGUCGCACAUUGCUGGGCUCUGCAAAGUUCCCUUUGAGUUCCACUCGGUCGCCAUGGCCGGCGAAGAGGUGGAAGAGGGGCACCUCGGGGUCAUCCCCGGGGAGGCUCUGGCGGUGAACUUCACCCUGGAGCUGCACCACAUCCCGGACGAGACGGUGAGCACAGCGAACCACCGGGACCGGAUCCUGCGGCUGGUGAAGAGCCUGAGGCCCAAGGUGCUGACCCUGGUGGAGCAGGAGUCCAACACCAACACGGCCCCGUUCCCGCAGAGGUUCGCGGAGACGCUGGAGUACUACACGGCCAUCUUCGAGUCCAUCGACCUGACGCUGCCGAGGGACGACAAGGAGCGGGUGAACAUGGAGCAGCACUGCCUGGCGAGGGAGGUGGUGAACCUGAUCGCGUGCGAGGGCGCGGAGCGGGUGGAGCGGCACGAGGUGUUCGGCAAGUGGAAGGCGCGCCUCACCAUGGCCGGCUUCAGGCCGUCGCCGCUCAGCUCGCUGGUGAACGCCACCAUCAGCACGCUGCUGCAGAGCUACUCGGAGAACUACAAGCUCGCCGAGAGGGACGGGGCGCUCUACCUCGGCUGGAAGAACAAGCCCCUCGUCGUCUCCUCCGCAUGGCACUAG
This 1665-nucleotide ribosomal RNA is filed under the name Triticum aestivum (bread wheat). Its description in RNAcentral is "partial small subunit ribosomal RNA". The record is from RNAcentral. Lineage: Eukaryota; Viridiplantae; Streptophyta; Magnoliopsida; Poales; Poaceae.